Molecule: ribosomal RNA, 495 nt
Filed under: uncultured bacterium
Lineage: Bacteria
Description: partial 16S ribosomal RNA
Rfam family: Bacterial small subunit ribosomal RNA
Source: RNAcentral
GACGAACGCUGGCGGCGUGCCUAAUACAUGCAAGUAGAACGCUGAAGGAGGAGCUUGCUUCUCUGGAUGAGUUGCGAACGGGUGAGUAACGCGUAGGUAACCUGCCUGGUAGCGGGGGAUAACUAUUGGAAACGAUAGCUAAUACCGCAUAAGAUUGACUAUUGCAUGAUAGUCAGUUAAAAGGUGCAAUUGCAUCACUACCAGAUGGACCUGCGUUGUAUUAGCUAGUUGGUGGGGUAACGGCUCACCAAGGCGACGAUACAUAGCCGACCUGAGAGGGUGAUCGGCCACACUGGGACUGAGACACGGCCCAGACUCCUACGGGAGGCAGCAGUAGGGAAUCUUCGGCAAUGGACGGAAGUCUGACCGAGCAACGCCGCGUGAGUGAAGAAGGUUUUCGGAUCGUAAAGCUCUGUUGUAAGAGAAGAACGAGUGUGAGAGUGGAAAGUUCACACUGUGACGGUAUCUUACCAGAAAGGGACGGCUAACUACGUG